GACGAAAAGCGAAAAAUCACGGACCCCUUUUUACGCCCAGUUUUGCCGGUAAUGUCAUCUCGCUGCAUUACCCGUGUCUAUCCCCUUAAGUACAGACAAUUUAUCGGUGGAGGAGGAACGUGUCCACAACACAAUACAUCCUACACAAGUGAAGGAUGAUUCCAAUGUAGAUGAAACGCCGAUACAAUUUACUACUCCGAAGAAUAUUUAGACGCAAACUUGGUGGACGACGAGAAGGUGGAAACACCAGCAGACUCGCAACCUGGCCCUUCAACGAUAGUGGAGAGACCAACGAUUAAGAUAGAAAAAGUGAGACAGAAACACCCUCUACGUCAAGCCACUAAAUUACAAAAACAAACUGGCAUGAAAUCACGAUCUUCAGUGCUUCUGGCACGAAUAGCCGAGGAAGACAAAGAAAAUAGGAAGGAGUAUUACAAUAAAAAAUUGGCAUUGUUGGAGAGGGAUGUAGUAGCUAAAGAAAGAAUUGCGACAGCCUUAGAAACUUUAGCUACUACACACUACGGAUAAAUCAUAUGAAAGUUCUAUCUUUCGAAAAUUUGCAUAGUACAAUAAAUUUCAAUUUUGAAUUAGAAGGUAAUUAUUUAA
Long non-coding RNA from Hylaeus volcanicus, 606 nucleotides. RefSeq lists it as uncharacterized. The record is from RefSeq and is a predicted model, not a curated record. NCBI's taxonomy places the organism in Eukaryota, Metazoa, Arthropoda, Insecta, Hymenoptera, Colletidae. The transcript is spliced from 3 exons.